This 484-nucleotide ribosomal RNA is filed under the name uncultured bacterium. Its description in RNAcentral is "partial 16S ribosomal RNA". It matches the Rfam family "Bacterial small subunit ribosomal RNA", at positions 28 to 507 of the family's 1533-position model. The record is from RNAcentral.
AUUGAACGCUGGCGGCAGGCCUAACACAUGCAAGUCGAGCGGAUGAAGGGAGCUUGCUCCUGGAUUCAGCGGCGGACGGGUGAGUAAUGCCUAGGAAUCUGCCUGGUAGUGGGGGUUAACUUCCGCAAGCGGCCGCUACUACCGCCUACUUCCUGCGGCGGAAGGAGGGGGUGCCUCGGACCUCCCCCUCUGGGAGGGGCGUAGUCGGGGUUGGCUAGUUGGUGGGGUAAGGGCCUACCAAGCCGAGCAUCGGCAACUGGUCGGAGUGGAUGAUCAGCCACACUGGAACUGAGACGCGGUCCAGACGCCUACGGGAGGCAGCAGUGGGGAAUAUUGGACAGUGGGCGAAAGCCUGAUCCAGCCAUGCCGCGUGUGUGAAGAAGGUCUUCGGAGUGUAAAGCACUUUAAGUUGGGAGGAAGGGCAGUAAGUUAAUACCUUGCUGUUUUGACGGUACCAACAGAAUAAGCACCGGCUAACUUCGUG